Long non-coding RNA from Pseudopipra pipra, 1344 nucleotides. RefSeq lists it as uncharacterized. Lineage: Eukaryota; Metazoa; Chordata; Aves; Passeriformes; Pipridae. The transcript has 2 exons. The record is from RefSeq and is a predicted model, not a curated record.
GAGGAUAUCUCCAAAUAUUCAUACCCAAAUAUUGGAUUUUUUGGGAGAUAUCUCCAAAUAUUCACAUCCAAAUAUUGGAUUUUUGGGGGGAUAUCUCCAAAUAUGGGAUUUUUUGGGGGGUUAUCUCCAAAUAUUCACAUCCACUUAUUGGAUUUUCGGGGGGAUAUCUCCAAAUAUUCACAUACAAUUACUGGAUUUUUUUUUGGGAUAUCUCCAAACAUUCACAUCCAAAUAUUGCAUUUUUGGGGGGAUACCUGUAAAUACUGACAUCCACUGAUUGGAUUUUUGUAUCCAAAUGUUGGAUUUUUUUGGGGGGAUUAUAUCCAAAUAUUCACACCCAAACAUUGGAUAUUUCCAGACAGCGAAUGCGACCUUUUAUUUUCCAAGGAAUAUCCGCAAUUCCAGCGGCAUCACACGGAGAGGAGUCGACUCCCCCAGCAUUGCAGCAGCUCCGUGCUCAUCCAGAGGGAGGAUCCCACGAUCCCUGAGAUUCCUGUGAUCCCUGUGUCCCAUCCCUACGUCUAAUCCCUGUUAUCCCUGUUUCCAGUCCCUGUGUCCCAUCCCUGUUAUCCUUGCUUCCAAUCCCUGUUAUCCCUGUGUCCAAUCCCUAUUAUCCCUGUGUCCCAAUCCCUGUUAUCUCUGUUUCCAAUCCCUGUUUUCAACCCCUGUUCUCCCUGUUUUCCAAUCCCUAUUAUUCCUGUGUCCAACCCCUGUUAUCCCUGCCUCCAAUCCCUGUUAUCCCUGUUUCCAAUCCCUGUUUCCAACCCCUGUUAUCCCUGUUUCCAAUCCCUGUUAUCCCUGUGUCCAAUCCCUGUUUCCAAUCCACAGAGCCGGAAAGCGCCUCUGGAAGCGGAAGAAUUCCCUGGAAGGAGCGUUGGGAUCCGGCUAAAUGACGGGAUAGGAGGCGUAGCUGGCGAUGCCGCAGCGGUUGGAAGCGUUCCGGGCCAUCCGGAUGUAUCCCGAGUCUCCAAACCAGACCCCCCCAGCUCCGGGAAAACAGGGAAGAAACACACGGAAAAAACCUCAAUUCCGGCUUUUCCCGGGCGGAUUCACCGACAUCCGGAUACCGGAGGGGGGGCGGAGUAGAUGGAUCCGUGGGGUUCCCGCUCCCGGGAAUCAUGGAAGGGGGUUAUGGAAUUGUGGGAUGAGCCAAUGGAAUCAUGGAAUGGGGUUAUGGAAUCCUGGAAUGGGGUUAUGGAAUCGUGGAAUGGGUCAAUGGAAUCAUGGAAUGGGUUAUGGAAUCAUGGAAUGGGUUAUGGAAUCAUGGGAUGAGUCAAUGGAAUUGUGGAAGAGGGUUAUGGAAUUGUGGAAUGGGUUAUGGAAUCAUGGAAUGGGGUUAUGGAA